Molecule: long non-coding RNA, 365 nt
Organism: Branchiostoma belcheri (Belcher's lancelet)
Lineage: Eukaryota; Metazoa; Chordata; Leptocardii; Amphioxiformes; Branchiostomatidae
Exons: 4
Source: RefSeq, a predicted model, not a curated record
CAGAAUCAUUUUUUGUAACUGUGUUGACAGCUUUUUUUUCAGGAUGAGAUAUUUUUGAUAAAAAAAGAAGACAUCAAUAAGCCCAGCCCACCCAUCUAUAAGUACGUAGAGUCUACUCCGGAGCGAUACGAUCCCUACAAGUGGGAGGAGGAGAAGUGGUACUACAUCCGGUCAAACACAUACAGCUCAAUGGCAAAAGGGGGCGACCCAAGGUAUCUGCAAAUCAAGGUCACAAGGCUGCCGAAGGAGCAGGUCGGUCACGGUCAAGAAUCACGGCUGAUUCAGAAGGUCAAGUGGAUGCCGGGGGAGGUCACAGCGAUGCCGCUGCCAAGACGGAACGGGCCUCCGAGUGCCAGCAGCAGCAG